AUGCCUAAAUCUAAAGAGUAAGGAAAAUAAUGGCUGAGGAGAAAUACCGAGGCCGCCAAGAAUAACUCUUGGGAAAAUUUUUAUAGGCCAAAGGUCGUCCCUGAGUGUCAGCUUACUUUGUUGGCCUCUUGGUGUUAUGAUCUUAAAGGCUU
RNAcentral lists this small nuclear RNA (152 nucleotides) under Schmidtea mediterranea. RNAcentral's name for it is "U12 minor spliceosomal RNA". It matches the Rfam family "U12 minor spliceosomal RNA". From Rfam's summary of the family: Although the U12 sequence is very divergent from that of U2, the two are functionally analogous. Lineage: Eukaryota; Metazoa; Platyhelminthes; Tricladida; Dugesiidae. The record is from Rfam by way of RNAcentral.